AUAAAAAUGGAGAGAAGCUACUCUCAGGCUGCAAGCAGCAACAGUCCCCAGGGCUCUGAUGUGUCUCUCAUGGCUUGUAAAGCGUGAGACAGCUGCCUUGUGUGAGACUAAGAGGCAAGAUUUAUCCACACCUUCAAUUUGGGACUUCAAGAACACUGACUUCUCUUACUGCAAAGGAUAUGAAUGUGUCUGUGUCUCAAUAGGCAUAAUGUGA
Callithrix jacchus (white-tufted-ear marmoset) is the source of this 214-nucleotide RNA transcript. It is a transcript of the gene named saoe class I histocompatibility antigen, A alpha chain-like, with no coding region annotated. Lineage: Eukaryota; Metazoa; Chordata; Mammalia; Primates; Cebidae. The record is from RefSeq and is a predicted model, not a curated record.